This 253-nucleotide ribosomal RNA is filed under the name uncultured bacterium. RNAcentral's name for it is "partial 16S ribosomal RNA". It matches the Rfam family "Bacterial small subunit ribosomal RNA", at positions 524 to 776 of the family's 1533-position model. The record is from RNAcentral.
UACGAAGGGGGCUAGCGUUGCUCGGAAUCACUGGGCGUAAAGCGCACGUAGGCGGACUCUUAAGUCGGUGGUGAAAUCCUGGAGCUCAACUCCAGAACUGCCUUCGAUACUGAGAGUCUCGAGUCCGGGAGAGGUGAGUGGAAUUCCCGGUGUAGCGGUGAAAUGCGCAGAUAUCAGGAGGAACACCAAUGGCGAAGGCAGCUCGCUGGGACGGUACUGACGCUGAGGCGCGAAAGCGUGGGGAGCAAACAGG